GAUGAACGCUAGCGGCAGGCCUAACACAUGCAAGUCGAGGGAGAGGUUACCUUCGGGUAACCAAAACCGGCGCACGGGUGCGUAACGCGUAUACAAUCUGCCUUUCACAUAGGGAUAGCCCGAAGAAAUUUGGAUUAAUACCUAAUGGUAUAUAAGAGCGGCAUCGUUUUUAUAUUAAAGCUACGGUGGUGAAAGAUGAGUAUGCGUUCUAUUAGCUAGUUGGAGAGGUAACGGCUCCCCAAGGUGACGAUAGAUAGGGGUUCUGAGAGGGAUGUCCCCCACACUGGUACUGAGAUACGGACCAGACUCCUACGGGAGGCAGCAGUGAGGAAUAUUGGACAAUGGUCGGAAGACUGAUCCAGCCAUGCCGCGUGCAGGAUGAAGGUCCUAUGGAUUGUAAACUGCUUUUGUAAGGGAAGAAUAAGGAGUACGUGUACUUUGAUGACGGUACCUUACGAAUAAGCAUCGGCUAACUCCGUG
This 480-nucleotide ribosomal RNA is filed under the name uncultured bacterium. RNAcentral's name for it is "partial 16S ribosomal RNA". It matches the Rfam family "Bacterial small subunit ribosomal RNA", at positions 28 to 507 of the family's 1533-position model. The record is from RNAcentral.